GCCCUUCCCUCCUCCAGAAGAUCCACGGCGAACGAUGGGGUCACAGUUACUGGAAUGAUUUUCUGGUUACUCACGUUUAUCGGCAUCCCUAGCUGCAGCAGGACACGGUACAAAGGUCCGUCAGCCGAUGUCUGAGGAUUCUCACACAAGGGUCAAAAAGUCAAGAAAGACGAAACACCGACUGUGUGUAUCAUGUUCCCAGACUUUGGCAGACGAUAUAGAAGGAGGCACUUGUGGCAUGUGUUCCCCACAACAACAUCCAGUUCAAGAGGAAACAUUUGGUGAAUCACCUUCUACCUCACCUCUCCAUACUCACGUCCCGCCCAUCCCAACCUCCCAUCAGUCCUCCACCGCUCCAG
This is a long non-coding RNA of Hyla sarda, 359 nucleotides long. RefSeq lists it as uncharacterized. The transcript is spliced from 3 exons. The record is from RefSeq and is a predicted model, not a curated record. Lineage: Eukaryota; Metazoa; Chordata; Amphibia; Anura; Hylidae.